This 17-nucleotide unclassified non-coding RNA is filed under the name Mus musculus (house mouse). Its description in RNAcentral is "oocyte_clustered_small_RNA13454". Lineage: Eukaryota; Metazoa; Chordata; Mammalia; Rodentia; Muridae. The record is from RNAcentral.
AGGAACUUCGUGUCCUA